This 5004-nucleotide unclassified non-coding RNA is filed under the name Daphnia pulex (common water flea). RNAcentral describes it as "uncharacterized LOC124202173, transcript variant X1". Lineage: Eukaryota; Metazoa; Arthropoda; Branchiopoda; Diplostraca; Daphniidae. The record is from RNAcentral.
AACGCAGUAUGCACAGACGCUGUCUGAGCUGGAAGGCGUGUGAUAUUUCUGUAUUAGUUUUCCGUAAAAAAAACCCGGGAACUGAAUGAAAACGUAGAUAAAUGAAAUUCUGGUUCGCGAGGUUGAUGACUAAACUUAUCCAAGUAGAUUUCCUUCAAAACAACUGAACUGAUGAUGGAGACAGAUCAAAUGGAAGAGGAUACCAGCAACACCAAUAUCGGUGAACAAGAACCGGGAGCAGAGACAGAUGAAACGAUGCAAAUGGAAGAGGGCCAAGUGCACACGACAACCGUGUUAGAUGAACAGAGUCUACAGCAACUGAUGGAUAGUGGAACUGUCAGUGAAGACAGCAUAAUCGCUAUAGUUCAAAACGAACAUGGAGAACCUCAAACGGUGGUGCUGAGUCGGCAGGAUGCAGAAGCAUUAGGCAUACAGUUGGAUCCUGUUGAGCAGCCUGUAGAAGAUGAGCAAGGUCAUGUUACUUCCACAGAAGAGUUGGAGGGAAUGACGGAACAAGUGGAUCAAGAGUCUGACAUGCAGCAAACAGAAGACAUGACUGAGUAUAACGCUGAAAAUGUUGAACAGUCUGAAUUCCAACAAGAAUUGCAGGCUGGAAUUCAAUCAGAUCUUCAAUCCCAACUGCACGCUGAAUUUCAAUCUGAACUACAAAAUGAUCUGCAAGAUGAACUCCAAGAUGAACUGCAGCAAAAUGAACUGCAGCAAGAUGAACUCCAAGAUGAACUGCAGCAAGAUGAACUCCAAGCUGAACUGCAGCAAGAUCUCCAAGAAACCACAAACCAGGGAGAAGAGAUCCAACCAGAAAUUCCCCCAGAGCUUCAACCUAAAAGUCAAGAACCUUUCCCAGUAACGGAUGCCGAAUUGGAACCACACGUUGAUACGCCGGUUCCAGAAGCCAUAUCAGUACCUGAUGAGAGCGUUCUCCCGAUGGAAACGCAAAUCCCAGAAGUAAAAACGAAAGAGCAAGUUCCGAAAGAAGAUGAAGAAAUGCACACGACGACGGUGUCCUUGGAUGCGGUUUCGCAACAGCUCGCUGAAGACGCUGGCGAUGGUGACAGCUCAGCUAAUGAUGUUCUAUCUAACAUCAUCCAGUCUUUAUUCAAUCCCAAUGAGCCAAAUCAAUCAAACGUUUCGAUUGUUCCUAGGAUGGUGGGUGGCAAGCGCAAAUUGUGUCUCAGGCUGCCCGCCAGCACGGCCAGCGCUCUUUUGGCACAAACGGGAAGCCCACUAGCUCAUUCCUUCACGGAAGGCGGUAUCCCGAAGAAGAUCAAGAUCGUUAUCCCACCCAAUUCUCUAUCGAAUAGUGCCGGCAGUUUCGUCACUAGCCUUGCCAAUUCCGCAUCCGUUAUCCAUCAAGAAACGAAAGUCGUGAAAAUUUCUACAUCGCAACAAAUAGCCAACAACAAUUCGGGCGGGAAAACUACAGGUCCUGCACGACUCGAUCCCGACACUUUACCGAAUAGCAGUUCUUUCUCUUUAAUGUCCUCUCCCGUUAAAAGCUCGUCGAAACCUUUUCUGGCCUCCCUCUUCAGUACCACGUCGACCACGACUCCGAGUGCCUCGUUAACAGUGACGCCCGUUUCCAACCCACCAAAGAAACCUUUAGGCAGCACCGAAAACCCCAUCCAGCUGGUCCAAGAAGGCAACAGCUUCCGUAGUCUUCAGCCGCUCACCCCGGAUCAGUUAAAACACAUCGCUUCGGUGUUAAAACAAAACCGACAAGCGAUCCUGUCUGGCGACGGCAAAGGCGGGAGCGGUACCAUCGCCAGCAGCUCAGAAGGCGAUGGGGGCAAACGGCGCGUUGUCUACGAUGCCAAGUCCAACACGAGGAUCGUCUAUCGAGUCGUCACUCCUGGCGAAUUGAAGAAAACACCUUCAACAGUGGGAGUGACGACUACAGUCACCAAUACCACCCAUGGUACGAUAACCACUCCUAUCGCCGUGAAAAGUUCCGUCACCUUAACACCGGCAGCGACUACAACUCCGGCAGUUGUCAGAGGACGUGGAAGAGGUCGAGGUCGACCCCCCGGACGCACAAUACCCUUCGUUCCAAAGCGCAAGCCCGCAAGCACAGAAGAAUCGGACUCGGAAGAUGUGCAGGAAGAUGAUGCAGUCAGCACCAGCAUAGACAUGUCUAAGGAGGAGCGAGAAGGCAAGAAGAAGCUGCUACCGCGAACACGAUCUGGUCGAGUGUCUAAACCUCCCCGUCACAUGGUCAAGGAUUACAAACGACUGCACCAUUUAGAUUUUGCCCAGCCGGAUUUGGAUGACUCUGAUGGUGGCUAUUCAGAUUACCGUAUCGAUCAUUUGUCGCCCAACGUGGUGGUUGGGAACGAGGAAAGCAACGAGGAUUCUUCGGAAGAUUCCAAAGAACCUAUCAAAGCCGUCAUACCAACUUCCCCGUUCAAUUGCGCCACUUGCAAACGCGAAUAUACAACUCCCCACAGGUUAUCGAGACAUUUUGAGCAGUUUCCCGACCACAGUAAUAAUGUGACAACCCGUCGUAGUUCAACUGUUUCGGCAUCGGCCAUCGAAAAGAAAAACGGGCAGCAUGAUAGAGAAGAACCAGAUGCCGAAGAAGAGUCAGACUCUACUGAAACGGAGAAAGUUGUCAAACGGACUGUCAGGACGUCAACUGCUGCCAGCACUAUUAGGGGAAGAGGUGGAUGGAGAGGCGGACGCGGUCGUGGUCGAGGAAGGGGACGAGGCCGAGGGGUUGGCCGACCUCCUUUGAUUCGCUCGCCGGCUGUACUUUCAGAAAAGAGGAAAAUCCGCCUUGCGGAGGCCUUGGAAGUAUGCACGGAUGAAGAAGUGGUGGAUGUUGCCGGCCCUAGACUUUCAGCCGCUAUGUCAAGUUGGGAAUAUUUGUUGUUAAGGGUGCAACAGGAAGACGAAGGCAAUAGUAGCGCUCCGCUUAUCCCGCGGAUUCUCAACGAAGUGACUUCCUUAUUUGACCGGGUUUCUAGCAUGACUGCCCGCCACUUGCAUCCUCAUAGUAACGGCGGCGACGGUGGUGGGAAUGGAGAAGAACACGAGCCUUACCAGCUGACGAAUCCUGAGACGGCCCGGUUGCUUGGCCUCCAGUGUGGCACUUAUUUUAUCAGCAAAGACGAACGCAAGUUAUUGGAGGAAGACGCGGUCAAUUCGGCUCAUUUGUCUCAGACAGCUUCGUCAUUGGUCGACGGAACUUCCGUCCCUCCUGCAACCGCAUUAAUUGCUGUAAUAGAAGAUCAGCCGCAGAUUCCGGUUGCGGCCGUUGUCGUCCCCCCUCAAUCGGAGGACUUGACUCAACAACAAGAAGAGCAGCAGCAAGAAGACGAGGCUCAACUGAAAGCGAUCCAGGCGGAUUCAGCAGCAGCGGCCGCUUCAAAGUUGUGGGAGGAGCUGGAAGAAGCCGAUCACUUGCCACCGACGGCAGGCAGUGAGUCCGGAAUUGGCGGAGGACCCGAUGGAGACCAAGCAGACGACGAUGCCGUCGACAGUGAACUGAUGCAAGUGGAUGAAAUCGUCAAUCAAGUGGUUGAAGGCCAAACGGGUGGCUCUCAGGCUCCUUCUCCUCUUUGAAAUGUCGACCCCAAUGACAACACCCACUACCCCAUUUUGAUCCCUUAUCCAGAAAAAGUGCGAGAGUCAUUAAACGCCGACAAUGUUAAAAAUACAGAAGGAGAAAAUGAGAAAAAAGUGCUCUCGCCAUAUUUUGUCCUCUCCCUAUUUUUUUGGUGUCUUUAAUUCAGCCAAAACGCGGAGCAACCUGGCAAGUUACGUUUUGUUCAAGUUAUAAUUAGGUUUUUUUUUCCCUAUUCUUCUCUUUUCUUUUCAAAUCUUUUUUUCUGCCUGUCAGAUUUUUUUUCUUCAUUAUUUUUCUCAGUACAGUUCCAUCUAAUUCCUGUUUCCACCUCCGUCUUGUUUGUUUUCCCUUUCUCCCCUAUAUUGAAAACACACACACACAUCUUACGUGGCAUUUGACAGUGAGCUGAAUACCCCUCCCCCCCAUCCCCAAUCCAAUAUGAAUACAAACAAAGUCGCAACGGAGUUCAAUUAUCUGACAUCUUUUUAUUUCCAAAUCUUAUUUGGAUGCUGAUGUUAUUAUUUCGGUUGGUGCAGACGAAGUAAUAGCAAGUAUUUUGGUUGAUUCUUAAAGUUCAAACUUUCCUUGUUCUACUCUUAAAUGAUAAUUUGUUUAAUUUAGCCGAAUGAUAGCAAAGUUCUGAUUGUGAUAUCACGGCUACAAGUAAAUUUGGUUGGCCAUGUUUGCACAUUAUCCCCAUUAUGGCGUUUCCUGCCACCACCACUGAAGCCUCUCUGCAAUAAUUAUCAAAAAAUGCCUUUCCACAAGGUUGUUAUCUACCAUCGAAUCCGGAAACAUUGGCUAGAAGAGAAGGACUGUGACUGUGAUAAAUGUGCGGCCAAUUCCCCUUUUUCCACAUUUCAAGGUGCUACGUUUGCGGUUUGUAUGAACUGGAACUCCGACCAAUGGUCUUCUGUUGUAAAACGGAAACAGAAAACAGUCGCCAAACGAAGACAAUGGCAAUUUAGUGUGCGGCUAAAAUCAACAAAUGAACCGUAAUAACAGCUGGUGCAGACAUCCGCAAAGACAAGCUGGCCCAUCAGGACAUUGUGUGGAUAUGUUCUUGUCAACUAAAACAAGUUUCUCAAAACGAAAAAAAAAAUUGCCAUUCAUACCGUCCGGCUCGUUUCGUUCUCAUGAUCAUCGAAUCGUGAAACAGGCAAUAACACGAUCACCACGUCCGCUCAUCUUUCCACAACAUCUGCAAAAUUCCUUGCGGAUGAUUAAACACUCUCAGGAAAAAAUUUUCAUAUACUAAUAAAAUACCUAGUAAACUUAUCCCCAAUUGAAUUCAUGCAAAUAAUCAUUUUUUUCUUUCUUUUUAUCAGACCGUGUUUCACCUAAAUGUAUUAUUCCAUGAAUAUAUAAUAUAUAUACACACUGGGAGUGUGCUGGCAAUUUACCUUGGUGCGCAAAAA